Podarcis lilfordi (Lilford's wall lizard) is the source of this 69-nucleotide non-coding RNA. NCBI's taxonomy places the organism in Eukaryota, Metazoa, Chordata, Lepidosauria, Squamata, Lacertidae. The record is from the annotation of a GenBank genome assembly.
GCUGUAGCUCAAUGGUAGAGCACCUGCCUUGCAUACAGAAGACGCCAGGUUCAAUCCCCAGCUUCUCCA